This 403-nucleotide ribosomal RNA is filed under the name bacterium. Its description in RNAcentral is "partial 16S ribosomal RNA". It matches the Rfam family "Bacterial small subunit ribosomal RNA", at positions 355 to 776 of the family's 1533-position model. The record is from RNAcentral.
UGGGGAAUAUUGCACAAUGGGGGAAACCCUGAUGCAGCGACGCCGCGUGAACGAAGAAGGUAUUCGUAUCGUAAAGUUCUGUCCUAUGGGAAGAUAAUGACAGUACCAUAGAAGAAAGCUCCGGCUAAAUACGUGCCAGCAGCCGCGGUAAUACGUAUGGCGCGAGCGUUGUCCGGAAUUAUUGGGCGUAAAGGGUACGCAGGCGGUUUAAUAAGUCGAAUGUUAAAGAUCGGGGCUCAACCCCGCAAAGCAUUGGAAACUGAUAAACUUGAGUAGUGGAGAGGAAAGUGGAAUUCCUAGUGUAGUGGUGAAAUACGUAGAUAUUAGGAGGAAUACCAGUAGCGAAGGCGACUUUCUGGACACAAACUGACGCUGAGGUACGAAAGCGUGGGGAGCAAACAGG